RNAcentral lists this ribosomal RNA (791 nucleotides) under uncultured bacterium. RNAcentral's name for it is "bacterial SSU rRNA". It matches the Rfam family "Bacterial small subunit ribosomal RNA", at positions 8 to 796 of the family's 1533-position model. The record is from RNAcentral.
AGAGUUUGAUCAUGGCUCAGAUUGAACGCUGGCGGCAUGCCUUACACAUGCAAGUCGAACGGCAGCACGGGGGCAACCCUGGUGGCGAGCGGCGAACGGGUGAGUAAUAUAUCGGAACAUGUCCUGUAGCGGGGGAUAACCUAUCGAAAGAUGGACUAAUACCGCAUACGAUCUAUGGAUGAAAGCGGAGGACCGCAAGGCUUCGCACUAUAGGAGUGGCCGAUAUCGGAUUAGCUAGUUGGCGGGGUAAAAGCCCACCAAGGCGACGAUCCGUAGCUGGUCUGAGAGGAUGAUCAGCCACACUGGAACUGAGACACGGUCCAGACUCCUACGGGAGGCAGCAGUGGGGAAUUUUGGACAAUGGGCGCAAGCCUGAUCCAGCCAUGCCGCGUGAGUGAAGAAGGCCUUCGGGUUGUAAAGCUCUUUCGGCAGGAACGAAAUGGUUCGUGCUAAUACCACGGACUGAUGACGGUACCUGAAGAAGAAGCACCGGCUAACUACGUGCCAGCAGCCGCGGUAAUACGUAGGGUGCAGGCGUUAAUCGGAAUUACUGGGCGUAAAGCGUGCGCAGGCGGUUUCUUAAGUCAGAUGUGAAAGCCCCGGGCUUAACCUGGGAACUGCGUUUGAAACUGGGAGACUCGAGUGUAGCAGAGGGGGGUGGAAUUCCACGUAGCAGUGAAAUGCGUAGAUAUGUGGAGGAACACCGAUGGCGAAGGCAGCCCCCUGGGUUAACACUGACGCUCAUGCACGAAAGCGUGGGGAGCAAACAGGAUUAGAUACCCUAGUAGUCC